This 1857-nucleotide long non-coding RNA is filed under the name Triticum aestivum (bread wheat). RNAcentral's name for it is "long non-coding RNA (TAES_LNC024284)". Lineage: Eukaryota; Viridiplantae; Streptophyta; Magnoliopsida; Poales; Poaceae. The record is from RNAcentral.
GAGGCACUACGACGGUCGCAUUCCGGGGAAGGCUGUCAAAGCUUAAGAAAGGUGAGGUGGUGCUCGAUCGAUUUUUUCUCUGGGAAUGCAGGUUUAGUAGAUGAGUUGAUCUUCCUGUUGAAGUUUAUUUCGAACUUAUGCGUGUAGUUCUCGUAUGCUGAUGCUGCUAGCUUUUGUGCCUGAUUUAGGUGUGGUUCUUGUUAUAUGAGGUAGCACAUUGUGGCCUAUACAUCAUACAACACUGACAUCAUACAACACAUUGUGGCCUAUACAUCAUACAACGCUGAUAAAAUUUAUUUGUGGGUUCAUCAAUUGCUUGAUUGUUUCUACCUUGUUCUGUUCGUUCCAACACCCUGCGCUUCAGCAGAAAAACAGUGAGCCUAGGAGGGGAGUCGCUGGAUCGAGGACCUCUAGCUCGAUAGUCCAACUACAUGCUCCACCGUUGGUCGCUCAAGGAGCUGCGUGCAGGCCACCCCCGAGCUCCGCCCCUGGAUCCGGGUCAACUUUCUCCCUACCAUCUAGGUAAGCUAGCCAGCGACUGAGAGUUAGAGUCAUUCGUCCCCCUGUGUGUGUUUGUGACAGAGAAUUAGGCAUGCUAACAUUAUCAUGUAGUAGCAGCUGGGGGAUGCUUAGUUCAGUUCAAAAACAUUAUCAUGCGAUCAUGGAUGAGAGUGAGAGUCAUCAUGCAUCCAAUUUCUUUUGUUCAAUUCAAAUACUAAAAAAAAGUUCAGUUCAAUUCUUGAUGUCGUCUUCCUGGUUACUUCAAACGUAUUCCUUUCUUUAAUAGUUCUUGCACUUUCCUCCAUUUUCAUGUGACACUUGUUAGAUUGCUCUCAGUAUUUGAUGUAUUUCAUGCAACACUUAUUUGAUUGCUCAAGAGAAGUGUUAUUUAUUAGUGAAUUUUCUUUUAGUGUAGAAGUUCAAUAUGUAUUUAUAUCAACAGUCCGUAAUGAAGUGCAGAAACAGUACAAUCUAUGUGUUAAAACAUAAUAGAUCAGUUCAAUUUAUUAUUUAUGUUCAGUACAAAUCUCAUUCAAGUUCUGUAGUUCAAAACUCAGUAAUGUGGUUCUAUGUAGAAAAAUACUUUUGCCCUGGUGCACUAUUAUGUUUGCAGAAAAAAUUAAGUUCUAUUGUCUGGAGAAUUCAGUCUGGAAUCAUGGAAAAAAGAGCAUGUGUUGAACUAGCUUUUUAUAGUUUGUCCCAAUCUAUUUAAUUUGGCAUCGGUAAAAGAAGAUGCCAUGUCUACAUUGUUGUGUUUGGAGCUGCUCCGCUAUAUUCCUUUAUUGGUUCUACAAGAUAAUUGCUCUAGAUUUCUUUUUCUAAUAUAAUGUUAAAAGUCCACUUGAUGAAAAUUUCUCUAUGUUAGCUAGAUCAGUACUGCUCAGCAGUACGACAAGUAGCAGUACUGAUCAGUACAACUUACACAAUAUUAGUACCGGUCAAUACUAUUCUUAAAUGUUAAAUGUAACAUCCAUAUAGUACUGAUGAGUCGUACUGACAAGGAUGCCGUCUACAGUUCUGAACUUAUUGUUGAGUGGUACAAGUACUGAUGAAAUGGGAAGCAAGUGUCACAUGAAUCCUUAAUUGAAUAGGAAGCAAGGUGACCCUGGAAAAACACUAUUUAUUUUAUUCCCGGUUAUUAGAAAAGCAUGGAAACAAUUCUCUCUGUGUUAGAGUAUCAGUUCAUGUGGAGAAGAACAUGUUUCCUAUAUGGACAACUAAUAUAUUAUUAUCGGUUCAAUGUGUAUUUUUUCAUUAGUUCAUACAGAACAACCAUAAAAAAUAUUUUGAUGUGUGUUAGAGAGAGCUCGACUUUAUAUUAUAUGGUAGCUCACUCAUUGCACAAUUGCACAGCAG